AACGAACGCUGGCGGCGUGCCUAACACAUGCAAGUCGAGCGCGAAAGUUCCCUUCGGGGAGCGAGUAGAGCGGCGCACGGGUGAGUAACACGUAGGUAACCUACCCAGGGGUCUGGGACAACCCGCCGAAAGGUGGGCUAAUACCGGAUAAGACCACGAGGGCUGCGGCCCUCGGGGCAAAAGGUGGCCUCUGCAUGCAAGCUAUCACCCCCGGAUGGGCCUGCGCGCCAUUAGCUUGUUGGUGAGGUAAAGGCUCACCAAGGCGAAGAUGGCUAGCUGGUCUGAGAGGACGAUCAGCCACACUGGGACUGAGACACGGCCCAGACUCCUACGGGAGGCAGCAGUGAGGGAUAUUGCGCAAUGGGCGAAAGCCUGACGCAGCGACGCCGCGUGGGUGAUGAAGGCCUUCGGGUCGUAAAGCCCUGUCGGGAGGGACGAAACCUCGCCGGUCCAACAGGCCGGUGACUUGACGGUACCUCCGAAGGAAGCACCGGCUAACUCCGUG
Molecule: ribosomal RNA, 505 nt
Filed under: uncultured bacterium
Lineage: Bacteria
Description: bacterial SSU rRNA
Rfam family: Bacterial small subunit ribosomal RNA
Source: RNAcentral